AACGAACGCUGGCGGCAUGCCUAACACAUGCAAGUCGAACGAGAUCUUCGGGUCUAGUGGCGCACGGGUGCGUAACGCGUGGGAAUCUGCCCUUUGGUUCGGAAUAACAGUUGGAAACGACUGCUAAUACCGGACGAUGACGAAAGUCCAAAGAUUUAUCGCCAGAGGAUGAGCCCGCGUAGGGUUAGCUAGUUGGUGGGGUAAAGGCGCACCAAGGCGACGAUCCUUAGCUGGUCUGAGAGGAUGAUCAGCCACACUGGGACUGAGACACGGCCCAGACUCCUACGGGAGGCAGCAGUGGGGAAUAUUGGACAAUGGGCGAAAGCCUGAUCCAGCAAUGCCGCGUGAGUGAUGAAGGCCUUAGGGUUGUAAAGCUCUUUUACCCGGGAUGAUAAUGACAGUACCGGGAGAAUAAGCUCCGGCUAACUCCGUGCCAGCCGCCGCGGUAA
RNAcentral lists this ribosomal RNA (449 nucleotides) under uncultured bacterium. RNAcentral's name for it is "partial 16S ribosomal RNA". It matches the Rfam family "Bacterial small subunit ribosomal RNA", at positions 29 to 523 of the family's 1533-position model. The record is from RNAcentral.